This is a long non-coding RNA of Gossypium arboreum, 312 nucleotides long. RefSeq lists it as uncharacterized. NCBI's taxonomy places the organism in Eukaryota, Viridiplantae, Streptophyta, Magnoliopsida, Malvales, Malvaceae. The record is from RefSeq and is a predicted model, not a curated record. The transcript has 2 exons.
CAGACUCCAAAUCCAAGCCCAAGUGGAAGCAAAAUCUACUAUUCAUAGAUAACAUAUUGUGGGUAAUCGGGUGAUCGGAUCAAUUCGAAGAAAUCACACAAUCUGAGGUUCUUUAGUAAAUUAUGAAUUCGAUUUGGCUUAUAUGGCAUUUAAUAUGACCAUUGAUCAUAUUCCGUAAUGUUUCAUAAGUACAUGUAAUUUGUUUGGGUUGUGCAUUUUGAUGUUGUGGUAUGAAUAGUUAAUGUGGUAUGUAUGUUUAAUUUCAUGUUUAAGCAUAAGUAAACAAGUAUGAAAUGGUAAGUGUGGUACAAA